This 62-nucleotide small nuclear RNA is filed under the name Rhinopithecus bieti (black snub-nosed monkey). Its description in RNAcentral is "U7 small nuclear RNA (ENSRBIG00000005849.1)". It matches the Rfam family "U7 small nuclear RNA". Rfam says of the family: Animal histone pre-mRNAs are spliced by a different mechanism than nuclear pre-mRNAs and self-splicing introns. This processing involves the U7 snRNP, which contains only one RNA species: U7. Lineage: Eukaryota; Metazoa; Chordata; Mammalia; Primates; Cercopithecidae. The record is from Rfam by way of RNAcentral.
UAGUGUUACAGCUCUUUUAGAAUUUGUCUAGUGGGGUUUUGGUUUUUGCUGGAAAGUCCCCU